UCAGGUGGCCGCAGAGAAUAGGCCCAAGCGACUGUUUACCAAAAACAUAGGUUUCUGCUAAGUCGCAAGACGAUGUAUAGGAGCUGACGCCUGCCCGGUGCUGGAAGGUUAAGGGGAUCUGUUAGAGCAAUCGAAGCAGUGAACUUAAGCCCCAGUAAACGGCGGCCGUAACUAUAACGGUCCUAAGGUAGCGAAAUUCCUUGUCGGGUAAGUUCCGACCCGCACGAAAGGCGUAACGAUUUGGGCACUGUCUCAACAACAGACUCGGUGAAAUUGUAAUUCCGGUGAAGAUGCCGGAUACCUGCGACAGGACGGAAAGACCCCAUGGAGCUUUACUGUAGCUUGACAUUGGGUCUUGGUACUACAUGUACAGGAUAGGUGGGAGGCUUUGAAACCAGGACGCCAGUUUUGGCGGAGCCAUCCUUGGGAUACCACCCUUGUAGUACUGGGACUCUAACCAUAGGCCAUGAAUCUGGUCUUGGGACACUGUCAGGUGGGCAGUUUGACUGGGGCGGUCGCCUCCCAAAAGGUAACGGAGGCGCUCAAAGGUUCUCUCAGUACGGUCGGAAAUCGUACGUAGAGUGUAAAGGCAAAAGAGAGCUUGAUUGCAAGACAUACAGGUCGAGCAAGGAUGAAAAUCGGACUUAGUGAUCCGGUGGUUC
This 662-nucleotide ribosomal RNA is filed under the name Clostridioides difficile. Its description in RNAcentral is "bacterial LSU rRNA". It matches the Rfam family "Bacterial large subunit ribosomal RNA", at positions 1769 to 2429 of the family's 2925-position model. The record is from RNAcentral. Lineage: Bacteria; Bacillati; Bacillota; Clostridia; Peptostreptococcales; Peptostreptococcaceae.